AACGUAGGAGACAAACGUUAUCCGGAGUUACUGGGCGUAAAGGGCGUGUAGGUGGUUUCGUAAGUCUGGCGUGAAAUUUUUCGGCUUAACCGGGAAAGGUCGUCGGAUACUGCAGAACUAGAGGACGGUAGAGGCGUGUGGAAUUCCGGGUGUAGUGGUGAAAUGCGUAGAGAUCCGGAGGAACACCAGUGGCGAAGGCGACACGCUGGGCCGUACCUGACACUGAUGCGCGACAGCAUGGGGAGCAAACAGG
This 253-nucleotide ribosomal RNA is filed under the name uncultured bacterium. RNAcentral describes it as "partial 16S ribosomal RNA". It matches the Rfam family "Bacterial small subunit ribosomal RNA", at positions 524 to 776 of the family's 1533-position model. The record is from RNAcentral.